AUAAUAUCCACACCACGUCACCUCUUUCUGGUUUCUAAAUAGAUAAAGAACCAUUUCACCACACUAAGGAUUUUUGUCCAUCUCCUCUGAGCCUUGUUAAUGACAGAACAGACUUGUGAAGCUUGAAUCAUGGAAUCUGUGUCAAUGAAGGGCUCGACAAGGCCUGGAUUGCUUCAUAUCUUCCUAUGUAGUCCUAAAUAAAUGGAGGUGCAUAUCACGAUAAUGGUCUUUCUCCACCUCCUCCUGGCGUUGACAAGGCAUGGUCUUGAUCUUCCCCUGUAAUCCUUCGGCUUGCCAUCUAA
RNAcentral lists this unclassified non-coding RNA (302 nucleotides) under Hevea brasiliensis (rubber tree). Lineage: Eukaryota; Viridiplantae; Streptophyta; Magnoliopsida; Malpighiales; Euphorbiaceae. The record is from RNAcentral.